GCGGCCAGAGCCCAAGAUGGUAAUCUCCGUGCUGCGCACGGCGAAUUGUAAUCUAGAGAGGCUAUGCUCACCGGGUGGUGGCGCAGAAGUGCCCUGGAACGGGCCGCCAGAGAGGGUGACAGCCCCGUACGUGGUGCCGCCGCCUAACGAGCAGGUCUUCAAAGAGUCGGGUUGUUUUGUAUUGCAGCCCUAAGUGGGAGAUAAACUUCUUCUAAGGCUAAAUAUAUGUGGGAAACCGAUAGCGAACAAGUACUGUGAAGGAAAGAUGAAAAGCACUUUGGAAAGAGAGUCAAAAGACCUGAAACCGUUGAGGAGGAAGCGGUAGAGAUGAAUUCUACGGCGAGGCGCUGGGAAGCCGGCCCAACCAUGGCAGGCAGGUCGUACGUCAAAGGCGGCAGUCUGUCCAAGGGGAAGCCGGUGACUAGCGCGGCGUUGUGAGGCCGGAUGGGGUGACGUGAUCACAGAGGCCUGCCGGGCCUGGCUUGACUCGUCGAGCAGCCCGGGAGUGCCGGUGGCCGCGUGGCCUGAGGGUGCUUUGUGCGAUCCGGUCAAAAUGGUCUUUACCGACCCGUCUUGAAACACGGACCAAGGAGUCUAACGUACGCGCGAGUGUGCCGGUGGAGAAACCGACACGCGUAAUGAAGGUGAGUGAUGCCAAGCGCAAGCAGCAGCAUCGACCGACCAUGAUCCUCUGGAGAAAGGUUUGAGUACGAGCGUGUCCGCUAGGACCCGAAAGAUGGUGAACUAUGCCUGCGUAGGGUGAAGCCAGGG
This 771-nucleotide ribosomal RNA is filed under the name Apostrombidium pseudokielum. Its description in RNAcentral is "partial large subunit ribosomal RNA". It matches the Rfam family "Eukaryotic large subunit ribosomal RNA", at positions 98 to 857 of the family's 3401-position model. The record is from RNAcentral. Lineage: Eukaryota; Ciliophora; Spirotrichea; Strombidiidae.